This is a long non-coding RNA of Hylaeus anthracinus, 697 nucleotides long. RefSeq lists it as uncharacterized. The record is from RefSeq and is a predicted model, not a curated record. The transcript has 4 exons. NCBI's taxonomy places the organism in Eukaryota, Metazoa, Arthropoda, Insecta, Hymenoptera, Colletidae.
UUUUAGCUUUGCAAGAAUCUAUUACGUAGACUACAUCGUUAAUCGUAAUAGAUGUUUCAGCGAUAUUUGUGGAUAAAAUGAUUUUCGUGAUUCCUGGUGGCACAGGAUCGAAAACUUUACGCUGAUCUUCCCUAGGUAAAAAGAUCAGUACGGCACCUGGUAUACCUUGAUCCUUGAUAUAUUUCAGAAGAGCCUCUAUAAGUUCAAAACUGAUCUCUUUUUCCCCAGUCCAUGGAUUCCAAUUUUGUUGCGGCGGAGACCAACUCACUACACCAGCAGGUUGUGGAACGGAUGAAAUAAAAUCAUCCAAUACUUGAUUUGUUAUUAAAGAGACACCAGUGCUAGAUUGAUCAUCUUCUGAUUUUAUAGAGUACCACUGAAUGCCUCGAUGACGCCAAGAUGAUAUAAUUGCCGAACGAGAGACAAAGCGCAACUUUUUGAUGCGGUCUGCUUGUUUGAACCAGUUUCACGACCAGUGACAUCUAAAAUUUGUUGAAAUUAAAAUGUUGUGCUUUCAAAACUUUUAUAUUAGGUUUUCUUAUAAGUAAUGAUGCAUAUAUGAAGUGAAUAUAAUUUAUAAUAUUGUGUAAUUGUAUGUAUCUGAAUAACAUUCAAUGUCCUAUUUCCAAAUCAUCCUGCAUAUCAUUCAAAUACAUCAUUACUUACAGGAAAUUUGAAUAAAUAUUUAAAUAAUUCG